Molecule: long non-coding RNA, 1003 nt
Organism: Myotis davidii
Lineage: Eukaryota; Metazoa; Chordata; Mammalia; Chiroptera; Vespertilionidae
Exons: 2
Source: RefSeq, a predicted model, not a curated record
ACAGGCAGCCCAGACUCCGCGAUGGUCUGGUUCCACAGCCCAAGGCUUCUCAACCUGCAGCUGCACCAGAGCCGCCUGGAGGCCCAGCCUGGACCUCCGCCCACCCCAGUUCUGCCUCAGCCGGUGCAGGCAACCCAACCUCCACCAGGUCCACCUGGAGCCCGGCCCUGAGCUCACCAGAGCAUCAGCCUCCUCCCAGCUACCCCUGCAGGUUACAUGUCUUGCCUUAAAAUGGACCACCUCUGGCUUUAUUUCUACGUAGUGGGCAUGGCCUGACACCACAUGAAGCAUGGACAUCGUUGGCUUCCUGCUCUCUGCUUCUGCUUUUGCCACAGUGACAAAGGUACGACUCUGGUUAAUUGCACUCCUGAGUACAGCUUCCCAUGGCUCCCUCUCUCCCAGAGCCCUUUGCCUCCAGCUCCCUCCUCAGCAACCACCCACCUCCCUGAAUAGUGGGAGGGUCAGAGAUCUGUCUCUACUCGAUCUAACUUUCAAGAGCCCGAGAGGCCCAAAUGGGAAGCAUCUCAUAGUCUUUACUGCUGGCAAGGUGAUCUUGGGCAAGACAUUGGGCUUCUCUGUGCAUCCGUUUCCCAUCUGUCAGAUGGGGGUGAUGCCCCUCACCCAACCUUCACUAGUCCAUUAGAUGAAUACGUUCAGGUCUGAGGGGCACUGGGGAAACUGGGAAGACAGACCCAGCGGGAAUUAGACCACUCUCUCAUGCCUACACAAAAAUAAACUCAAAGUGAAAGACUUAAAUGUAAGACCUGAAACCAUCAAACUCCACAAGAAAGCCAGGCAGUACACUCUCUGACAUGGCUCUGUGGAUGUGUCUUCUCAGGCAAAGACAACAAAAGCAAAAAUAAACCAGUGGGAAUACAUCAAACUGAAAAGCUUUUGCACCUCAAAGUAAAGUAUUGUGAAAUCAAAACAAAAAAGCAACCUACUGCAUCAAAGAAGAUGUUUGCAAAUGACAUAUUCAACAAGAGUUAAUGUCCAAAAUCUA